This is a long non-coding RNA of Chelonia mydas (Green sea turtle), 2884 nucleotides long. RefSeq lists it as uncharacterized. The transcript is spliced from 4 exons. The record is from RefSeq and is a predicted model, not a curated record. Lineage: Eukaryota; Metazoa; Chordata; Testudines; Cheloniidae.
CACAAUUUCCCAGCACGAUCUCCAUGUACAGCUACAUCUUUCGGGCAGCUCGUGUUAAUAUCUGUCGUCAGAGGCUUUCUCCGCCAAUCCCGCGCCGCAGGGGCGGGGCCUCCGGCGCUCGGCAAUAAAACUUUUUGAUGUUCGCGUUGCUAAUUGCCGAGCUCCUCUUUUAGGAUUGGCUGCCCCUAAUAUAAUUAAAAACAAGAGAGGAAAAAAAAAAAACUUUUAUCAUGGAGGCAGAGGUUAUUGCAAGUGUUUAGCAGAUGCAGUACGGCAAAAUCUUCUUUUUAAAUAAACUCAUUAAAACAAAAUAUUGGAGCAUUUCAACCCAGGUACGGUAUGUCGCCGAGAAUUUUGAUGGAAAAAAAAAUAGCGGCUCGGUCAGUUCAGUUAUUGCUUUACAAAGUGCGUUGUGUGGAUCUAGCAGAGGAAAACAUAAAAACAGCUUCAGGAGGCACUUGCCGAUUAACCAAUGGUGAUGUACAUAUAGCAGGAACACUUUAGCGUAUUGUUCUAGCAGAACGCUUUCAGGCAGAGAGAAGUGCAGUUAUUAGGGAUAGGCAGUGGACAUGAGUUGCAAGUACGAAAAGAUUGGAUCUGACUUUAUAGCAAUUGACUUCUAAAAUAAGCAAACAAUGGGGUCAGGGAGAUGGUUUUCAAAGAAUGAGUUGCUUUUAAAUAAGAACAAUAAAAACAAAUCAAACGAUUCUCUUCCAGCUUGCUGAGUUAAUGUGCAUACCAGGACAUGUAUUCAUCCGAACCAGUUAUAUGCCUGAAAUCAGUUGCAUGCUUGUUUAACUAGCCUGAUUGGAAUAAUGCAAUAAAUUAGGCUUCUGCAUCCACCGGUUAAGUCUCUUCGAAUUGGAUGAGCAAGAAGAGCAAGAGACGAGAAAAGUCUCUUAGUAAUAUAGUGGAACUGAGUACAUGGCAUUUUGUCAUGCACAGCUCAGCGGAUGAUCUGUGCCAGCAGGAGGAAUCCUACGGAGGGCGCAGUUCAGCAGCAGCGUCUUCACCUUCCCUGUGUGCACAGGAGCUAAAGAACCAUUUUACUAGAUACUUUAAGAAUAUCCUUUUGAUCUGCGUCCAGGACCCGGCCUUUUGUCUCCCAGCAUCUCAAUCAAGCUGCAUAGCUGAGCGACGGUGUCAACCCCCCAUUCGCGAUCAGAUCGGGGAGGGAGAGGCUUCUUUCCUGAGCACAGGGGAGCCCAACCCGCGAAGCAGCUCGCCCAUUCGCUUCACAUUUGAACGCAGCCCCUUUAAAGAUCUCGAUCGGGGUGGCUUAUACUGUACAUGCAUGUCCUUGCAGCAAAGGACUUUACUUCCUCCACUGCUGUAAUCAGUAUCUGUAUUGCUCUGGUGAAGGAAACCCCCUUCUUUGCAAAUGUAACCGUCACCGGGUGAAACCCCCUCACCCCCCCACACUUUCCCCCUUCUUUUGGUCUUGCAAGCGUGUGAUAAGCUCCUACAGGUCCGGAAAGGGUUAACUGCUGCUCCUCCACCUCCUUCACUCUCCUGGAGCCCCCUGAAUGCCACCGCUUUCCUCUAGAGGUCUCAUUAGGGAAACCCUAACUGCUAUUUUCAACAUUUCCUCAAUCAAGCGUCUUUAAAUAUAGCUCCACAAACAAAUUGGCGGCAAAAAGCGUAGAUCUUGUCACGAGUGAGACCAAUCCAAUAUUUCACCCUUGUUUGCUUUGUAAUUACUGGAUGGCUUGUGGCUACCUCCUUGCCCCACUGGGGCAAACUCCCCCCGCCCGCUCUUUUUCACCCUUUAAAGUGUGGGAUGAACCAGCCUGUUGUGCUACUAAACCAGUGAUCUCAGAAAUAAAACCCCCUUCACAAAUGCAGCCUGCGGGCCAUUCACCGCAGUUCCUGGCUUGCUAGCUAGGCUUGUGAUUUUUCCAAGCCACACUCUCUGCUCCGACAGCACUUUUGUUGCAGGUCACACACUCGCAAGCUGUGCCCUUGCAGGUAUUUGUAAGUGGUUAGUCUUUGCUUUACUGGAAUGAAUCUCUCUGUUAAACUGCUACUUUGAUUUGUUAUAUUUUCCACAGCGCUUAUUCUUGUUUGACUGUUGUACAAAGCUGCUUUAAAUCUGCUGCAGGGAGAAUAAAACUUCAAGCUGCUUGAAUGGAUUCCUAUAGACUUGUGGGCUAGCCCUGGCCCACGUUAGUUCCUGCCUAGCAAUCCCUCUGCGUAAAUCAGUCCUGGAGUAAGGUGAUGUCUGCAGUCAGGGGCAACAAUCAACUAGCUAAUAUCAACAAAAACAGUAGUUAACUCAAAUUAUGUUCUAAGCCUUGCAUUUAACAGAGAAAAGGCAGGCUGCGCACUAUUAACAAAGCUGUUAUAUUUACUUUGCUGUGAACUGAGAGAACUUUUAUGAUAAAGGCAAAUAAUAGAACACAAAAGGGAACUAUGACCAUAAAUCUCUUUUUAUGGAUUCUCUCUCUAGCAGAAAAACACAGUAAUUCAACAAUUUUAUGAUUCAGAUAUUUUGCAGGUACAUUUGAAGUUAUUUAUAUAGGAAAGUAGGAAUAUCGCACACACACACACACACACACACUUUCUUGAUUUAUAGGGGCCUGAUUCGGCUCCUACUGAAUUCAGCAACAAAAACUCUCAUUAACAACCAUGGGAGCAGGGUUGAUUCCUAUCAGUAGAUAGCGCGCAUAUGAUCACUGUGGGUACACAUUCUAAGAUUAGUUACAGUGUCAUUUGUCUCAUAUGAAGCAUCUUUUUAAAAUUUACACAUUUACAUGGAAUUAUAAUUCUGGAAUAAUUCUAUAAUCUAAUCUAAAAUGGACAAACUGAAUUGCCUCCUCUCUUUUUGCACCAGAAUCACUAAUGUUUGAGAUUGUUAAGCCACCCAAUGCAAUAAAAAGAUAUU